RNAcentral lists this ribosomal RNA (383 nucleotides) under uncultured eukaryote. RNAcentral's name for it is "partial 18S ribosomal RNA". It matches the Rfam family "Eukaryotic small subunit ribosomal RNA", at positions 592 to 976 of the family's 1831-position model. The record is from RNAcentral.
CAAUAGCGUAUAUUAAAGUUGUUGCAGUUAAAAAGCUCGUAGUUGGAUUUCUGGUGGGAGCGAUCGGUCUGGCGCUUAGCGCGAGUACUUGCAUCGUCUCCGGCCAUCCUUGGGGAGAGUCUGUCUGGCAUUAGGUUGUCGGGCAGAGGAUCCUCAUCGUUUACUGUGAAAAAAUUAGAGUGUUCAAAGCAGGCUUAUGCCGUUGAAUAUAUUAGCAUGGAAUAAUAAGAUAGGCCUUUGGUACUAUUUUGUUGGUUUGCGCACCAAAGUAAUGAUUAAUAGGGACAGUUGGGGGUAUUCGUAUUCCGUUGUCAGAGGUGAAAUUCUUGGAUUUACGGAAGACGAACUACUGCGAAAGCAUUUACCAAGGAUGUUUUCAUUAA